Molecule: long non-coding RNA, 963 nt
Filed under: Sinocyclocheilus grahami
Lineage: Eukaryota; Metazoa; Chordata; Actinopteri; Cypriniformes; Cyprinidae
Description: lncRNA (ENSSGRG00000045108.1)
Source: RNAcentral
UCUACGUAAUCAAGGCGGUGUUAGUCGUGAAGGACUGACACUAAAAAGUCUUAAAAUAAAUACGUAGGAUUAUUUAAAAGUAAACGUGGGACAUCUGGAAAAGCCAAAGGGUGAGGUGUAAGGUUGUGUGAGAUUUCCAAUGUGUGGUCAACAAGUUCAGAGGUUGGGUGGCCUUACAGUGGAGCAGCUGUCACACUGUCUUUUACCAUGACGAGAUCAGGUGCCUUCAAACUCAGCAUUGUCUUCUUUCUCGCCUUCAUCCUGUGUCUACCAGAGUUUUUUCCAGAAAUAUCACAAAUUGAGUUUCUCUGUGAGCUGUUUGACCCUUGCACUCCUGAAAAUGAUGCACAGGUGUGUACUCCGGCUGACCCUCCAUGUGAGACAGAAACGAUAAAUGCCAGCAUUCAAAACAUACAUGCUGAUGGCUGGUAUCUGUGUAAGACUGAAAUGGAUCUGCAGCUUCUCUACAACAAUACCUCACAGUCAGGAGAGCAUAUAAAGGUGGUACUGAAAAUGAAGGCAGGCAAUCUCUCUGGAUGGAACAUUGAUGUGUUUGCGUUUCUCAACAACACUGAUCUGUACACUGGACCCCAAAAUGACCAGAGACUCUUCUACUGCUACCUCCCACCAGACGACAGCAAAUGUCCAGAUCUGGACAUAUCUAUGCAUGAAAACACCAGCACUCCGACACAAGACACCUCGAUUUUAAAAACCAUUACUUCUGCAAACCCAGCCGCCUCGUCGCUCAAAACAACUACACUAUCUUUCCAAGCAACAGCUUCUACGAAUGAGCUGAGGUGCCAACCAGCCAGCAGCAGCAGUUUCCUCUUUUACUACCAGGAGCAAAAUGAAACAGCAAGAUCAGCUGCAUUUCCAGCGACGCAAACAAGAAGAGGACAAAAGUUCAGAGAGCAAAUAUGCGAGGAACAGAAAGAAGAUAUACAUGCAGAGAUACAUACAGAC